CAAACCAAACAAACAAACAAAAUCUUAAACAAAAAAAAUGCGGACUUUUUUUCCCUUACGAUUCAGGAUCCAUCUUUGUCUUGUGUAACUAGGUCAUGGCACACCCUAUGUCAGCAGUUAACAAUUUCGAAUGCCAAAAAAACCCACUGCCAGACAAAGAUCCGUAACUAUCUUGUCAAGAUCCGCUUUGACUUGCAAACUUACGAGAGAAGUGGUGAUCCAGAUCAUAUAUUUAUAGCCGUUAUUUAAAAAAAAAAACAAACGCGUUAACUUCACCUUCAGAGCUGCUUUCAACUAUGGUGCGCGGGUAAGUAAACCCUUUUGCCCUUGCAGAGAAACAUAUAGACCAGGCCUGUGCGGCUAAUGUUAUUGUCCUGGGCGGAAAAAUCCUAAUGGUCGUCUUUAGGAGCGGUGGCGAUCUCCUUCGCCUCAGAUACAUCUAACAGCGUCUCUAAAGCGUCUAUUUUUCAGGGAGGGAUUUCUUUUUCUGCACAAAGUGCUUGGUCGUCUGCAGCCCUGGGUUUUGUUUUUGGGUUUUUGGUUUUGGCUUUUUUUUUUUUUUUUUUUGCGGAGAGACGCCGUGAAUCCAUUGCAGGCGUUACGUGGCUGUUAAAUUUGAACGCACACACACAAAAAAAAAAUCUGCCUGCGAACAGUAAGAUGUUACUGAGGUUGAUUUUUUUAAAAGGCGAAAAGGCGUUGGUGGUGGUGGUAAGGAUCCCUUACAUGUUUUAUCCGUCUAAUUACUGAAGCUCGACAAAAAAAGCAACAAAAUGGGGGGGUGUUUUUCAAGACGGUGAGUCUUAAUGGCGGAUGUAUCACUAAAAAGCACUGUAAAAUCCUUCAUACCGAGAGGCAGUGACUUGGAGAGAGGGGGGAAAAAGGAGGUCUGGAAGUAAAUCCAAAAUGAGGGAGUUUCCUUCCAAGUGAGGGACCCUUUGCAGCCUGAGUUUUACAGUUGGAGAGCCGUGACGCAGUUGAUAUUCACAGCAGUUGUGCUUUAGUGCAGCCACCCAGCCCAUUAAAUGGCCUCCCCGCCGAAGUCUGGUGGUUUUAUUAUGUGAAAGCCUGCGGAAGCACCGUGUCCCGGGCGCCGGGAAGGGCGGUUGGCGGCGGGCAGGGCGCUCCCGGUCGCGCUCCAUGUUGUGUGAGAGUAGCCGCCAUCAUGGCUUCUCCUUCGGUGCCGCGUUCUCCUCAGGGCUGGGGCGGCGGCGAGGCGGGCUCUCCCCCACUGCCUGGCGGCGCUUCGCGUCCCGAUCACUGGAGGGAAAUGGCCUUUUUUUUUGUCUUCCCCCCCCCCCCCCGCCCCAGUCUCCUUUUUCCCGCCCCCCCCUUCCCCCACCACUUUGUGAGGGGUUGUGGAAGGCGAAGCCGAGGAGGGAGCGGGGCGCCUGGCAGCUUUUUCUCCCCGCGGCUGCCGCGCACAACAUGGCCGCGCCGGGGAGCGCCCUGCAGCAGCGGGAGGCAGCGCUGCGGGCGGCGGGGUUGGCGCCGCUCCAGCCCGGCCGCGGGAGGGGGGGCGGGCGCCGGCCGGGCAGGGAGGACAAAGGCAGCUCGCAUUAAUGCAGGCGAAGCCCUGGGUGCCUAUAAAUAACGCCGCCCGCCCUCGCCUUCCUCCCUUCCCCCCGCCGCAGCUUCCCGCUCGCUGGCUUUUAUAAAUGCCAAAAGAUGAAAGUAUCCUAAUGCGGGGGGG
Phalacrocorax carbo (great cormorant) is the source of this 1693-nucleotide non-coding RNA. The record is from RefSeq and is a predicted model, not a curated record. Lineage: Eukaryota; Metazoa; Chordata; Aves; Suliformes; Phalacrocoracidae.